CCUGCAGGCGGUCUCGUAAGUGGGAUGUGAAAUCUCCUGGCUUAACUGGGAGGGGUCAUUCCAUACUGCGAGGCUCGAGGGCAGAAGAGGGAAGCGGAAUUCCCGGUGUAGUGGUGAAAUGCGUAGAUAUCGGGAGGAACACCAGUGGCGAAGGCGGCUUCCUGGCCUGCUCCUGACGCUAAGAGGCGAAAGCUAGGGGAGCGAACGGGAUUAGAAACCCCGGUAGUCCUAGCCAUAAACGAUGGAUACUGGGUGUCGGUGGUCCUAACCCCAUCGGUGCCGAAGCUAACGCGUUAAGUAUCCCGCCUGGGGACUACGGCCGCAAGGUUAA
This 331-nucleotide ribosomal RNA is filed under the name uncultured bacterium. RNAcentral's name for it is "bacterial SSU rRNA". It matches the Rfam family "Bacterial small subunit ribosomal RNA", at positions 568 to 897 of the family's 1533-position model. The record is from RNAcentral.